GGGGGUGUUCCGGUUUCGACGGGGGGUUUUGAAGGUUGGGUAAGCGAGCCGCGGACCCUGUACCGCGCAACAACGGGGAAAAACAACAACCGACAAUAACGAAUUCGCUUUCGCGGCUUAAUGCCGCGCGUCGGCCCGAACCGCCCACGGAUUCGGUUCCCGGCGUCAUGAUCGUGGGGGACGAGCACAUCAAAGCUUUGAGGUGUUGUUCGUAAAAUGAAGCUACCGUAGGCAUAAGCCCGUCAGGGGGCGUUUGCCGAGGGGAAUCCCAAAUCCCUGAAUGCGCUCGGAGAAAGCCUGAUCGGCAUGCUUUCGGACAGGGGUUCAACUCCCCUCACCUCCACCA
Molecule: transfer-messenger RNA, 346 nt
Filed under: Clostridiales bacterium
Lineage: Bacteria; Bacillati; Bacillota; Clostridia; Eubacteriales
Also listed under: 1 other name
Rfam family: transfer-messenger RNA
About the family: Bacterial tmRNA, also known as 10Sa RNA or SsrA, is named for its dual tRNA and mRNA-like properties. Its role is to liberate the mRNA from a stalled ribosome.
Source: RNAcentral